AUGGAACAAAUUGAUAGAGUGAGAAAUGCGACCCAGGCAGCAAAGGGAUUCGCCUCAAGCUCCGCCGGGCAGCUGGCGAGGAUCGAGGGCCUGGUGACUGUGGCCUGCAUCCUUGUCGGCAGCCUUGUUGUGUCCAACUCGAGGCGACGCCAUGACGGCCGUUUCAUGGCCAGGCUCGUCGUCUGGGGCGCCUUCAUGUUCAACUUCCCGGUGAUCUCCUACACCAUCGGCCUGAUGCAGUCGUCGUCCAUCCGGAACGAGCUCUUCGUCGUGUGGGCCUGCUUCCUCCUCCUCCUCCUCGGCAGCGCCGACACCAUGACGGCAUUCAGCUUCAACGACAGCAGCCAGCAGACAAGAUCCAUGAUGAACCAGGCCCUGCACGUCGUCUACCUGCUGUUUCUGAUACUCUACUACAAAGGUCAGCUCCGCGGCAGCUUCCUCGUGAUUUUAUUUCUGCUCUGGUGCUUAAGCGUUGUAAGGCUUGGCCUGAGGUGCAAGGCCUACCGGUCAACGUGCCGCUCCCGUGGGCUGAUCAGGGAAAACCAGGUCGUGUUCGAGUACAUGAAGUACGAACCACUGAACAGUCCUGGUAUCCAAGGUGGUGUCUACAACGCAGAAACCAUGGAGGGGUACAUCUACCUUGUCGACGGCAAGGAAGUGAAGAAGGUGCAGUAUGGAGAAGAGGUCAUACGCGUGUCUUACCGCGAGCCGGAAACGGUGGUGGACGUCCCCGGAAUUGACACGGCACCGGACAUCGCCGGAGCUGAGACGGGAGACGCCCACCAAUUAAGGGUGGAUGCCGAAAAAACAGUAGACGUCGCAAGAAUCUGGCAAUGCAAAGGGAAGUUACUGCAAUAUGGCGGCGAUAAAGGUGCUUCAAGGCGGAGGGAUCUGUGUCUCUCCUUUGCUCUCUUCAGGAUUCUCAGGCUAAGGUUUGCAGUUGAUCAUGUUGGCAAUAUAUUCUUCCCCUUUCAAUCUGACAAGUGUCGAGAUUUCGUUGUCAAAGGGCUCCUCUCGGAUGAUGAAGAUCUCGAUAGAGCAUUCCGGGUAGUCGAGGCAGAGCUCGGCUUCCUCUUUGAUUUCUUUUAUGCUCGGUACCCGUCCAUCAAAGACACCCUAGCUCCCGAUUUGAUUGUGUAUGCUGCGAUCCUUGCAACCAGCAUAUUUACUCUCUUCUCCCCAGACCUCCUCAAGUACCAGCCGACUGGGGUCAGUGCAAACAUCUUCAUCCAUGGCUUCAAUCUUGAUCUUCUCGUCACUCGUUUGGCCAUCGUCUGGUACAUACUUCUCGAGUCGUACCAGUUCCUUUCGUUGUUCAUCUUCUCCGACUGGCACAAGGUGAAGAUGUUGUGCCGGUACGUGCGGAAGGAGUCAUGGCACAUGGCGUUAGUGGAGAUCCCACUCAAGGUCCUGUGCUAUUUCACCUUCUCAAAGUACUGGAAGGGAAGCAUCGGCCAGUACUUCAUCCUCGACAAUGCCCAUCCUCACCCGGUGAAGUCCUUCCUAUCAUGGAUAUCGCUCGAGGCCCUGGACUCAUCACAGAUGACCAAGUCCAUCAGCUUGCCACUCGAUGUGAGGGAAGCUGUCCUUCGCCAACUCAAGGCCAUUGCCGGCAAGGUCACCGAUGGAAGGAUGUGGCUGUAUGAGAUGGGCAUCGUCGACCUGGAUCUCGAUCGCGACUGCUUGCUUGGCCAGACGUAUGCCCGCUACAUCAUGACAUGGCACAUAGCCACAAGCAUCUGCAGCUACGGCAAAGAGGUGGCGGAGCUGAAUGCCCGCAAACAGGCGGCGGAGCUGAUUGCCAGCAAACAGGAGAAUGCCAGCAAAGAGGCAGUUGAGCUCAUGAAGAACCAUGCGGUGGCUACUAAGCUGUCCGGGUACUGUGCAUAUCCGAUGGCCUUCAAACCGGACCUGGUUCCGGACAGCACUUACACGAGCUUAUCGAUGGCCCGUGGUACGCUGCACAACGCCCGUGAGUUCCUUGGCAAAUGCAAGUCCAACAAGGAGAAGUACGAUAAACUGAUCGCCUUAGGGAAGAUACAGUCCACUAACCACGAGGUCCGCUUUCUGUCUGAGGGCGCGAGGAUCGCUGUUUACCUCGUCGAAAAGAUUAAGACCGAGGAGGAACGAUGGAGGGUGCUUGCCACCUUCUGGGCGAACAUGAUGCUGUGGAUCGGCUCAUCGGACAGAGCAGUGGCACAUGCCACCAGCAUGGCAACCGGCGGGGAGUUCAUAACACUCAUAUGGGCUCUGCUCACACAUGCCUACGUGGUAGACAAGCUUCAGGAGAAUGGUGGUAACUCAGGAUUGCAUAUGCAGCUGAAUAAAAAUCAGGAUGGGCAAGAGGCGACAAGCUGA
RNAcentral lists this ribosomal RNA (2358 nucleotides) under Triticum aestivum (bread wheat). RNAcentral describes it as "partial small subunit ribosomal RNA". Lineage: Eukaryota; Viridiplantae; Streptophyta; Magnoliopsida; Poales; Poaceae. The record is from RNAcentral.